RNAcentral lists this ribosomal RNA (95 nucleotides) under uncultured bacterium. RNAcentral describes it as "partial 16S ribosomal RNA". It matches the Rfam family "Bacterial small subunit ribosomal RNA", at positions 1388 to 1482 of the family's 1533-position model. The record is from RNAcentral.
CACCGCCCGUCACACCAUGGGAGUGGGUUCCACCAGAAGUAGUUAGCAUAACCGCAAGGAGGGCGACUACCACGGUGAGAUUCAUGACUGGAGUG